This 368-nucleotide ribosomal RNA is filed under the name Neisseria subflava. RNAcentral describes it as "bacterial SSU rRNA". It matches the Rfam family "Bacterial small subunit ribosomal RNA", at positions 30 to 393 of the family's 1533-position model. The record is from RNAcentral. Lineage: Bacteria; Pseudomonadati; Pseudomonadota; Betaproteobacteria; Neisseriales; Neisseriaceae.
AUUGAACGCUGGCGGCAUGCUUUACACAUGCAAGUCGGACGGCAGCACAGAGAAGCUUGCUUCUUGGGUGGCGAGUGGCGAACGGGUGAGUAAUAUAUCGGAACGUACCGAGUAAUGGGGGAUAACUAAUCGAAAGAUUAGCUAAUACCGCAUAUUCUCUGAGGAGGAAAGCAGGGGACCUUUGGGCCUUGCGUUAUUCGAGCGGCCGAUAUCUGAUUAGCUAGUUGGUGGGGUAAAGGCCUACCAAGGCGACGAUCAGUAGCGGGUCUGAGAGGAGAUCCGCCACACUGGGACUGAGACACGGCCCAGACUCCUACGGGAGGCAGCAGUGGGGAAUUUUGGACAAUGGGCGCAAGCCUGAUCCAGCC